CAGAGUCUCCCCAGUACGUCCUAGGCGUCGCAAUCCAAACAGUCAACGAGGUUCCAAACAGGAACGGAUAUCAAUCCAGAUUGCAAAAAGGAAGUAUCAAAUACAUAAACUACAGCUAUUACAAGCAUUCUAUUACAUUCAUUUUUACAUCACAUUUUUCUUUUACAAUUUGCUUCCAAAUUACAAUCUAGUUAUUACAUCAGAGUUUGAUACAUUUUCUUUUCUUUUGUCUUCUAAUCCCCUAAGCUAGACUGUCUCAGGGUACUGCUACCUCGGUCUCUGUGGUAGGGCGCUAUCUACGGAGCUACGCCCUCGCCUCGCGCUGCUGCGCCGCACUCGUACAACCUCUAAACACCCCAAAGCAACGUGGGGUGAGAACCAACUCCAUGGUUCCCAGUGGGUACGGCCACCCAAGGGAAAAGCUCGACCGAUAGGUCUAAGUAGGCCCUGCAACAUGUCAGUUCAACAAUAUACGAUGCAGAUAUAUUCAAUUGAAAUACAUGUUAGGCCUAACAAUAUGCAAUAUGAAACUUCAUGCUUUUCCAUACGUUUCUAGUAGAUUACUUGAUUCUACUUAGCUACUUUGGCACAUUUAACAACUUGUAGAUUAUCUGUAGUCUACUUUUUACUUGGCUACUUUAGCCCACAUCUUCACUCUAAGGUUUCUAUUACUUUAGGUUCACAACACUAACCACUGGCUUCUAAGGUUUCUAUUAUCUUAGCUCAAGCCUCUAACAUCUAGCUCAUAAGGGUUCCUCUACCCUAUCAUAGCUAACCACCCGACUCGGCUUCGAGUCAAUCAUCCGCGGAUAGCCCGCGCUCCGGCUGCUCAGUCAGCCUACCGCACUCACUCUGACUCAGCCUCCUAGCGGCGAAAUCGUCGCACACGCUGAACACGGCUCGAGCCACAAGACUUAACCAUCGGUGGCGAUCGCGUUGCACUUACCCAGCGAGAGCUCGAGACCUGACAUACCAUCUGGCGGCGAACGAGUCGCACCACACCCAACAACGGUCAUGUCAAACUUAGUCACCUGGAGGCACCCGCAUCGUACUUACCCAACAUGGACUCAGUCUGCUCUAGCGGUCUGAUCCUCAAAUGGCUUAACCACUCUGGCGGCGAAAUCGUCGCACAAACGCCAGGACCAUGGUUCAAGCCCCGGGCCGUGAUCUCUCAGUGGUCACGCCCAAUCUACCUACGGUACUCUAAGCUCAGCGGCGAAAUCGUCGCACACACGCCCUAGCCCGUACCAGGGACAUAGCAAAAGUCCUGAGAUUCCGGAAUCCACUUUACCACAGGUCGAGGGUUAAUAACCAACCCUAUACUGUCGACC
RNAcentral lists this long non-coding RNA (1331 nucleotides) under Ananas comosus (pineapple). Its description in RNAcentral is "long non-coding RNA (ACOM_LNC017941)". Lineage: Eukaryota; Viridiplantae; Streptophyta; Magnoliopsida; Poales; Bromeliaceae. The record is from RNAcentral.